CCUAAAUGUCAAGCGUUCGUGAAGACGCGAGCAAAGUGAAAAAUUAAUUUCUAAAAUUACACGUUGGUUGAACGUAAUCGAAGAAAGCGAUCGCGCGACGCGACGUAUCGUCAACGAGAGACAAAGAAGAGGGUAGAAACAGCCAGCAGCCGAUACGAGGAGGAACGAUAAAGUGGUCGAAGGCAAAAGACACGGCGUAAUGUCCCGCAGAAAGCGAACAUUGUAUCGCGUAGCGAAAGGGUUUUAAUUAACGAAGACGAAGGGGAAAGAAUAUCGGCGAUUUAUUGGACGAUCGUUUUAUUCGCACGAAAUAACGAGAGGAAGAAAGAAGUUAAUUUAACCGGACGGUAAAAGCCGGCGAUGCGAGCGGAAUAAUUAUAUCAGAUUUAUUAUCAAACUCGGUACAACCGCGCGAACCCUUAGAUAAUAGGCUUUUUACGACUCGGUCGCGCGAACUACCCGAUUCGAAAGUUACGAUACUGUAAAGCUCUCUUUACGAGGCCAUUACCGGGAGCUGUUACUCAUAUUUUUUCCUCAAACGAGUCGAGAGACACUUCCAGCAAUAUCAUCGCGGAAUGACCGAAAUUCCUGAUUUAACCAGAAUUAAAUAUUAAUUCCACCUAUUGUUGUUUUUCCAGCGACGUAAAAAAAAUAUUUCCAUCUUUUCCCACCCUUCGUCUCUCUUCGGAUACGAUCG
RNAcentral lists this unclassified non-coding RNA (697 nucleotides) under Bombus terrestris (buff-tailed bumblebee). RNAcentral's name for it is "misc RNA ENSBTSG00005032806.1". Lineage: Eukaryota; Metazoa; Arthropoda; Insecta; Hymenoptera; Apidae. The record is from RNAcentral.